UUUUACAUUAAUUAUUGCAAAGUAUAAUUGACAUUUUGAUUUCUAAUUCAUGCGCAAUAUUUUUAAUCAUUUGAAUAAUCUACAUCGUUUGGUACCUAAUGACUUUUAAAGCAAUCAGUUAUAUCAAGUAUUUAUUUUGUUUUUAAUGGUUAUAAAAUGAGUUUGGUUCCUUGUCCGUGGUGAUUCAUACAACAUUUAUCAAUUUUGAAUUUAAAUCCAAAAUCCAUUAAAACUAUUUUUAACAUGUCAAAAUUAGUUUAUUUUUUAAAGUAAACUCUAGAAUCUAGAUGGAAUUAUUCUAGACAAACUUAAUCACAGGUUUGUGGUUAUUUCUUUCACAGAAAUGUUCAUUGCUGUAAAUUCAGUUCCAGACGAUAACUUUUCUCUCCGCAUAGUCACAACAUAAGUAUUGAUGGGGUUAGAAAAAGGCCUUGUGUGUUGCACAAUCAAGUGCAGCCAAUCACUGUUUGUGUAAAAAAAAAAAAGAUACUUCAUAACUUUAAAUGCUAUGAUAGUUUACACUGCUGAAUCAAAUAACAAAGUUAAAUUAUUAAUUUAAAGUAAUAUAUUUCUAUUCUUCCUUAGUUUUAGUUUUCACCAAUGUUAUUUUAGAUACAACUGUUUUAAUUAAAAUAAGUAAGUUACAAUUAGUUUCCAUCUUAAAAGUAGUUUUAAGAAUUUAAAAUUUAGAUUUAAUGAAAGAGGAUUGUGAA
This is a long non-coding RNA of Melanaphis sacchari, 713 nucleotides long. RefSeq lists it as uncharacterized. Lineage: Eukaryota; Metazoa; Arthropoda; Insecta; Hemiptera; Aphididae. The record is from RefSeq and is a predicted model, not a curated record. The transcript has 4 exons.